ACAAUGCUGUUAGGGGAGAGGGGGUGCUACAGUGACAAAGCAGUUCAAUUAUGACUUGCAGUAAAUCGUCCUUUGGAGAAUGCAGUACUCCCUGGAUUAUUUGUUCUUGCAUUUCUUUUAACUCCCCUUUCAAUGUGUUUAACAUUUUGACCAGAAGACUCUGGCCUCUGCUGCACAGUGUCUCAAACACUAUUUUUCCCCUUUUUGUUUAGACCUGAGCUUGGCAAAGCAAGGAUAUGAACAAUUGUGCAGGUGGGCUACUCAGGGCGAGUGAAGAGAUAAGGCAUCCAAUCAGGGAUUGGCCACCUGCAGCCCUGCCAAUAUGCCCCUCCACCAGAUUUCCGUAAUCCCAGCACGGGAGACUGCCAGCAAUGGGAGAAAUUCAAUGGGCAGAAACAAAGAGAAGAACAAGGAAGUCGAGAAUGAAAAAUCCCCAGGGCGAUCUGCAAGUCGAUCAAGUAACAUUUCAAAAGCAAGCAGCCCAACAACAGGGACAGCU
RNAcentral lists this small RNA (499 nucleotides) under Pongo abelii (Sumatran orangutan). RNAcentral's name for it is "retained intron". Lineage: Eukaryota; Metazoa; Chordata; Mammalia; Primates; Hominidae. The record is from RNAcentral.